GACGAACGCUGGCGGCGUGCUUAACACAUGCAAGUCGAACGGAAAGGCCCUGCUUUUGUGGGGUGCUCGAGUGGCGAACGGGUGAGUAACACGUGAGUAACCUGCCCUUGACUUUGGGAUAACUUCAGGAAACUGGGGCUAAUACCGGAUAGGAGCUCCUGCUGCAUGGUGGGGGUUGGAAAGUUUCGGCGGUUGGGGAUGGACUCGCGGCUUAUCAGCUUGUUGGUGGGGUAGUGGCUACCAAGGCUUUGACGGGUAGCCGGCCUGAGAGGGUGACCGGCCACAUUGGGACUGAGAUAUGGCCCAGACUCCUACGGGAGGCAGCAGUGGGGAAUAUUGCACAAUGGGCGGAAGCCUGAUGCAGCAACGCCGCGUGCGGGAUGACGGCCUUCGGGUUGUAAACCGCUUUCGCCUGUGACGAAGCGUGAGUGACGGUAAUGGGUAAAGAAGCACCGGCUAACUACGUG
RNAcentral lists this ribosomal RNA (467 nucleotides) under uncultured bacterium. RNAcentral describes it as "partial 16S ribosomal RNA". It matches the Rfam family "Bacterial small subunit ribosomal RNA", at positions 28 to 507 of the family's 1533-position model. The record is from RNAcentral.